AUUACAACAAUGGAAAAAAAAAAAAACUUUUUCAGAUUAAUUACUUACAAGCAAUUAUCAAACACAAAAUCAUGAAACCCAUAAAUCUGAAAAAAAAAAAUGAAAUUUAACCAAACCAAGCUGAAAUUAAAAUCUUGAUAAUGUUUUUUUUUUGCUGAUAAAUGCGAGAUUAUCAAACACACGAUCUUGAAAUCAAAUGGAUUGGAAAUUAAAUUAAGCGAAACCAAGGUGAAAUUAAAAUGUUGAUAAUUAAUUAAUGUUACAUAUAAGAAGAAUCGAUGA
This 282-nucleotide long non-coding RNA is filed under the name Trifolium pratense (red clover). RNAcentral describes it as "long non-coding RNA (TPRA_LNC005079)". The record is from RNAcentral. Lineage: Eukaryota; Viridiplantae; Streptophyta; Magnoliopsida; Fabales; Fabaceae.